AGCGUUGCUCGGAAUCACUGGGCGUAAAGCGCACGCAGGCGGAUUGUUAAGUCAGGGGUGAAAUCCUGGAGCUCAACUCCAGAACUGCCUUUGAUACUGGCGAUCUUGAGUCCGGGAGAGGUGAGUGGAACUGCGAGUGUAG
This 142-nucleotide ribosomal RNA is filed under the name uncultured Alphaproteobacteria bacterium. Its description in RNAcentral is "partial 16S ribosomal RNA". It matches the Rfam family "Bacterial small subunit ribosomal RNA", at positions 537 to 678 of the family's 1533-position model. Lineage: Bacteria; Pseudomonadati; Pseudomonadota; Alphaproteobacteria. The record is from RNAcentral.